RNAcentral lists this long non-coding RNA (448 nucleotides) under Pongo abelii (Sumatran orangutan). RNAcentral's name for it is "lincRNA". The record is from RNAcentral. Lineage: Eukaryota; Metazoa; Chordata; Mammalia; Primates; Hominidae.
AGUAAUUAUUGUAGUAGGUUGUAGUGGAUUCAGUAAAUAUAUCCAGUUCCUAUUCUAUAUUCUUUCUAGGUGUUAGGCAUGCUCCCAGGAGGUAUAAAAGCCGUCAGUCGCUGCACCGAAGGACUCUAGGAUGCCAUGACUUAGUUUUGGACCGCGGAGAUUGCCCAACAAGCCGAUAAUAUUCCAGCCCUCCAACAUUGUUGUUAAAAAAGUCCACCGCUAUAUGUUAGGUGACUUCCCAAAGCUGCUCGCUUUCUUCUUCUUAUUCUGUUUUCUCAACCCCACAAAAAUCCGGUCACUGAAAUCCUGAACUCUUUUGAUAGUGGCAUGAGUGUUAAGUAAAUUGCACACCUCUUGUGGAAUUCAUUUUCACUUAAUCAUGCUAAUUAUGUGGAGACUUGUUUGUUGUUGUUCUUUGUUUUUUUAAGUAAAUCAAUACCUAAAUUUC